This is a long non-coding RNA of Anguilla rostrata (American eel), 3098 nucleotides long. RefSeq lists it as uncharacterized. The transcript has 2 exons. The record is from RefSeq and is a predicted model, not a curated record. NCBI's taxonomy places the organism in Eukaryota, Metazoa, Chordata, Actinopteri, Anguilliformes, Anguillidae.
CUGUGCUGGAGAGAGGAGAGCUGUGCGUCAGUAUGCAGCACCGCUGUUACAUUCGGCACCGCUUAAGUGUAGGAUGUUUACCGCAAGUUAUGGCCAUGAAUGCUGUAACAUAUUCUGUAAUUUCCUUUCCAGCGGAAGGAUUUAAUGCAAGAGGGUCAAAUUGGAUACGCUGCACUUUGAAGUAGCCUAAAGAACAAAUCGAGAGGUUCGGGAAAUACAUUACCUCUGCUUACGAUAACUACACCGAUAGAACAGUCCAACAGAAAUGUGAGAAUUGAGAAUGCAAUGCAAACAUCAACAGUAAGAAGAAAAACGGCUACCUUUGGAGAAAGGGUCGAUCGACUAAGAAGCACUCUCUGACGUGUCCAUCGAAACUUUCAACAUGGAAAAGGGAAAUAGCCUUUUAUAUCCUUUUUCUUUUGUAUCCAAAAAUGCGCUCCUUAAGGAAAUCACCCUAUUGGGCUGUGUCAGGAUACUAUGGGAUCAUUUUCAGCGACUUCUUCAGAUGCCCUUUGCAGCCUUGCUCGUAGGUGACUCCUGAACAAGGGCCAGGUAUUAGGAUAAAGUCCAGGCGGACCAAACUCUCUCCGUUAGUCUGCAAUCUGUAGAUGUCGGCGCGUUUAGCUUGUUUCCAUUACGGACUCAUGUCCUUGGAACAGCGAAUGUGUUAUGCGUUUGCUGUUACCUAGCUAUAAGGAAGCGCUUUCCUCGAUAGUAGUUCCUGCUUUGCCGUCCAGCGCCUUCCACAUUAGUUAGAGUCGUUCCACGCAGCAUUUCUGCAGAAAAAAGAAAGUGUCCACAAUUCUCUCCGUGCUCAUAUUCUCAGUUGUAGACUUAGCUGUAAAUAUCACUCGAGUUUGCCCAGAGGGGAAUUAUGUAUGAAGCUGUCUGCGUUUAAAUCGACUACUUUCGAAAUGUAUCAAAACCCGACAUUUCGAAUGCUGACAAUUACUCGUCUCUCUAAAUUCUACACCUUCAGCUUACUGGUGCGUCUUCAGAACUGUCCACCAAGGUUCAGUGCGAUCGAUCUGGUACGAGCCUCAUCUUUUUUCUAAUGCGUUUUGUUGGCCCAUGACGUCACGGACGCAAAACGUCAAUCGUUGAAGCGAAGGCACCUCCUGUACUCUGGCCUUCCCUACCACUGCACGUGAGGUAAAAGAACGACAGCAUUGCACGCGAAUUUUUGACAUUUAACUUGUUGCUUCUUUUACGGUGACCGGGAACAAUGUAACCGAUCAAAUACAUAAGAGAUAACACUAUUUGCUUGGGUCUGCAUUAAUACAGUGAUACGUGCAUCAACACAUUUAAAUAGUCAAAGAAACUAAUCAACGCUUUUCUGUUCAAACCAUGGCCGCCCACUUCGCAUUAUUAUACAUAUGUCUAUUUAAAUUAUUACAGCUGAUCUAUUAACUUUCUUUUUAGAAAGAUUAUUUUGCUUAAAAACUUUGGAGUUACACGGUCGUGCUAAACGUCGAAACUUGUCAAUAAAAGUCUGUGAAGACAAUGUGGGUUUGCCUGCUUUGGUGCUAGAAUUUGGGUUCAGCAGAAAAUAUAGAAAAUUAGAUGCAGUGCGCCAACAUGCGGAGGAAUUAUGGAACUGGCGUGUUCUUCUGAAAGGCACGGAGUAUUGUUUAUUAACGGUCUUUUACUGAAAGUAAAGUAAAACACGAAUCUUUCCACGAACCAGAUAGCUAGAGAAUAAUAUACUACAAAUAUCUCUAGCCAGUUUGCCAACUUGGGCACAUUUUGCCUACUAUCUGGAGUGUAUUUAGCAGUAAGUAAAAUUUACCUACAACUAAUUUUGACCCAUGAUCAUUUGUCUGGCUGGCUGGCAGAUCUCAAACUGAAAACUCUUCUGUAACUUAAGUGCCUUCAAGAAUUAAAAACCUCAAGUUCCUUCAGUCUUCUCCAUACUUCUUCAAAGAGCUUCAAAAGCCUGAUGUGGUCUGAUAAAUGCAUUCUAGAAAAUGAAAUGCAUAUACUGUACAAAAAUGUUCACGUUUAUCCUUUUUGCAGCCUGUUGCACAAGUGUUUUAAAUUCUGUGAGCGUUCAGUACCUCUUAUAACCUGAAGUGUUUAUGCCAACCCUGUACAAGUUUGCACUUGGCAAAUAAAAUAUUGCAUUGAACUUUUCUGCCAAAAAACAGAAUGAUCCAGCUUCAUGAAUAAAUUCAUUUCAUAAAAUAUGUAAUACUUAUUGAUCUACUGACAGUGGAACAGUCCUCCUAUUGAAAUGUUCAGCAGGGAGAGCCAGUCCUGCUGCAUAUCCUAUUCAUGAGAGCAUGCUUCCCCCAUUUUUAAACACAGCUGCUGAAGCAGACAUCAUUGCCUGGUUUCUUUUCCAUGCAAGCAAUGAACUUUAACGACUAAACAUUCUUGCAGAAACUUAAAAUUAAAGAGCAGCAAGCUGCAACUGUCAGGGUGAACCUACCGUGAGCAUCAGGAACAGAAAGCCAAAAAGCACCAAAGCAUGGACUCAAUCUUCUACAAACAGUUCUUUUAAAAAUAUUUUUAAAAAUUAACCGUUAACCCGUCCUCUAACAUACAUAGAAUUUGGACACCAAGUCAGGGUUAUAAAACUUACAUUUACAGUUAAAUAGUAAAGUAAAAUAAAGAUGAAAUUACAUUUUAAAAGACAAAGUUUAUUUCUUUAUAACACAACAGUAGAGAUAAAAAUGGACAUUCAUUCAAUGUUCUUCAUCUACAGCCACACUCAUCCACAAUCAUGUCCUCGUAGUGGCGCAGGACCACAUUGUCAUUGUUGUCGUAAUACAGCAUUGAGAUGGGGGAGAGUUUUAUGGGCACGCAGCAGGGCUGGGGGGUCCCCACAGAGUCCAAAGAGUGGACGAGGGUCUGUAGGAUGGCAUGGUUGGUCCCGUUCAGGCUCUCGCUCAGGGGGAAGGGGCACUCCCCGUGGCAGUAAUUGGCCAUGUACCCCUGGGGAGCGAUGAUCCAGUCCUGCCAGCCCACGUCCUUGAAGUCGAUGUAGAGCCGACGGGGUUUGCACACGUUGCUGGGCGUCACGGGGAGGUAGAGCGCACUCCUCCGCCGCCUGGACCUGCACUGCAGGGGAUUGAGGGACACCACCACCAGCGAGG